GAGCGGCAGGCUAUACAUGCAGUCGUACGCCCUCUUCGGAGGGAGUGGCAGACGGGUGAGUAACACGUGGGAACCUACCUAGGGGUACGGAAUAACUCAGGGAAACUUGUGCUAAUACCGUAUACGACCUUCGGGUGAAAGAUUUAUCGCCCCUAGAUGGGCCCGCGCUGGAUUAGCUAGUUGGUGGGGUAAAAGCCUACCAAGGCGACGAUCCAUAGCUGGUCUGAGAGGAUGAUCAGCCACACUGGGACUGAGACACGGCCCAGACUCCUACGGGAGGCAGCAGUAGGGAAUCUUGGACAAUGGGCGAAAGCCUGAUCCAGCCAUGCCGCGUGAGUGAUGAAGGCCUUAGGGUUGUAAAGCUCUUUCGCCAGGGAAGAUAAUGACGGUACCUGGAUAAGAAGCCCCGGCAAACUUCGUGCCAGCAGCCGCGGUAAUACGAAGGGGGCUAGCGUUGUUCGGAAUUACUGGGCGUAAAGCGCACGUAGGCGGCUUUCCAAGUUGGAGGUGAAAUCCCCGGGCUCAACUCGGGAACUGCCUCCAAAACUGGACGGCUCGAGUCCGAG
This 566-nucleotide ribosomal RNA is filed under the name uncultured bacterium. RNAcentral describes it as "bacterial SSU rRNA". It matches the Rfam family "Bacterial small subunit ribosomal RNA", at positions 37 to 652 of the family's 1533-position model. The record is from RNAcentral.